GACGAACGCUGGCGGCGCGCCUAACACAUGCAAGUCGAACGGAGUCAAGAGGAGCUUGCUUUUCUUGACUUAGUGGCGAACGGGUGAGUAACGCGUGAGUAACCUGCCCUGGAGUGGGGGACAACAGUUGGAAACGACUGCUAAUACCGCAUAAGCCCACGGAUCUGCAUGGAUCUGCGGGAAAAGGAUUUAUUCGCUCUAGGAUGGACUCGCGUCCAAUUAGCUAGUUGGUGAGGUAACGGCCCACCAAGGCGACGAUUGGUAGCCGGACCGAGAGGUUGAACGGCCACAUUGGGACUGAGACACGGCCCAGACUCCUACGGGAGGCAGCAGUGGGGGAUAUUGCACAAUGGGGGAAACCCUGAUGCAGCGACGCCGCGUGGAGGAAGAAGGUUUUCGGAUUGUAAACUCCUGUCGUUAGGGACGAUAAUGACGGUACCUAACAAGAAAGCACCAGCUAACUACGUG
Molecule: ribosomal RNA, 468 nt
Filed under: uncultured bacterium
Lineage: Bacteria
Description: partial 16S ribosomal RNA
Rfam family: Bacterial small subunit ribosomal RNA
Source: RNAcentral